This 155-nucleotide ribosomal RNA is filed under the name uncultured Candidatus Amoebinatus sp. Its description in RNAcentral is "partial 16S ribosomal RNA". It matches the Rfam family "Bacterial small subunit ribosomal RNA", at positions 335 to 489 of the family's 1533-position model. The record is from RNAcentral. Lineage: Bacteria; Pseudomonadati; Bacteroidota; Flavobacteriia; Flavobacteriales; Flavobacteriaceae.
ACUCCUACGGGAGGCAGCAGUGAGGAAUAUUGGACAAUGGGUGAGAGCCUGAUCCAGCCAUCCCGCGUGAAGGAUGACGGUCCUAUGGAUUGUAAACUUCUUUUGUACAGGGAUAAACCUACCCUCGUGAGGGUAGCUGAAGUACUUACGAUAUA